Molecule: ribosomal RNA, 304 nt
Filed under: uncultured bacterium
Lineage: Bacteria
Description: bacterial SSU rRNA
Rfam family: Bacterial small subunit ribosomal RNA
Source: RNAcentral
ACUCCUACGGGAGGCAGCAGUGGGGAAUAUUGCACAAUGGGCGCAAGCCUGAUGCAGCCAUGCCGCGUGUAUGAAGAAGGCCUUCGGGUUGUAAAGUACUUUCAGCAGUGAGGAAGGUGAGUCGUUAAUUAGCGGCCUCAUUGAUCGUUUAGCUUGCAGAAGAAGACACCGGCGUAACUCCGUGCCAGCAGCCGCGGUAAUACGGAGGGUGCGAGCGUUAAUCGGAAUUACUGGGCGUAAAGCGCAUGCAGGUGGUUUGUUAAGUCAGAUGUGAAAGCCCGGGGCUUAACCUCGGAAUAUGACA